RNAcentral lists this ribosomal RNA (465 nucleotides) under Vreelandella stevensii. RNAcentral's name for it is "partial 16S ribosomal RNA". It matches the Rfam family "Bacterial small subunit ribosomal RNA", at positions 338 to 795 of the family's 1533-position model. The record is from RNAcentral. Lineage: Bacteria; Pseudomonadati; Pseudomonadota; Gammaproteobacteria; Oceanospirillales; Halomonadaceae.
CCUAGGGGGCGCAGCAGUGGGGAAUAUUGGACAAUGGGCGAAAGCCUGAUCCAGCCAUGCCGCGUGUGUGAAGAAGGCCUUCGGGUUGUAAAGCACUUUCAGUGGGGAAGAAAGCCUUGGGGCUAAUACCCUCGAGGAAGGACAUCACCCACAGAAGAAGCACCGGCUAACUCCGUGCCAGCAGCCGCGGUAAUACGGAGGGUGCGAGCGUUAAUCGGAAUUACUGGGCGUAAAGCGCGCGUAGGCGGUCUGAUAAGCCGGUUGUGAAAGCCCCGGGCUCAACCUGGGAACGGCAUCCGGAACUGUCAGGCUAGAGUGCAGGAGAGGAAGGUAGAAUUCCCGGUGUAGCGGUGAAAUGCGUAGAGAUCGGGAGGAAUACCAGUGGCGAAGGCGGCCUUCUGGACUGACACUGACGCUGAGGUGCGAAAGCGUGGGUAGCAAACAGGAUUAGAUACCCCUGUAGUC